Molecule: unclassified non-coding RNA, 582 nt
Filed under: uncultured bacterium
Lineage: Bacteria
Description: partial contains 16S-23S ribosomal RNA intergenic spacer and 23S ribosomal RNA
Rfam family: tRNA (bases 143-215)
Source: RNAcentral
GAAUAGCCGGACUUUAGAGGGCCUGUAGCUCAGUUGGUUAGAGCCCACGCUUGAUAAGGGUGGGGUCACAAGUUCAAGUCUUGUCCAGGCCCACCAUAANGUGGGCUGGUUUAUGACNGGCGCGGGCAUGGCGUACCCUUGAGGGGCNUUAGCUCAGUUGGGAGAGCGCCAGCUUUGCAAGCUGGAUGUCAUCGGUUCGAUCCCGAUAGGCUCCACCACUCAAGUUUGACGAGCUGUGCAGCGNAUGUGAAACGAGAGCUCAGACAUGAAUGCCGCGGGCGGUAUUGAUGUCUGGAUUUUCCAGGUUGACCGGGAUGACCGGCGACAAAGAUCUUUAACAAGUUGAUUCGAGUCUAGAAUCUGUAUUGGAGUAAUCAGGUCAAGCGAUUGACCUGGUGAAAGAUACAGCUUCAAACAAAAGAGAACUGAGUCAAGCGACUUUGGUACUUCUUAGGCAUUGGCCGACUUCUGAUGGAAAGCGUGGACGCAAGUCCCGUGCAGACUGUUUGGGGUUAUAUGGUCAAGUGACUAAGUGCACACGGUGGAUGCCUUGGCAGUCAGAGGCGAUGAAGGACGUGCUAA